AACGUAGGACGCAAGCGUUAUCCGGAAUUACUGGGCGUAAAGCGUGCGCAGGCGGCUUUGCAAGACAGAUGUGAAAUCCCCGGGCUUAACCUGGGAACUGCAUUUGUGACUGCAUGGCUGGAGUGCGGCAGAGGGGGAUGGAAUUCCGCGUGUAGCAGUGAAAUGCGUAGAUAUGCGGAGGAACACCGAUGGCGAAGGCAAUCCCCUGGGCCUGCACUGACGCUCAUGCACGAAAGCGUGGGGAGCAAACAGG
This 253-nucleotide ribosomal RNA is filed under the name uncultured bacterium. Its description in RNAcentral is "partial 16S ribosomal RNA". It matches the Rfam family "Bacterial small subunit ribosomal RNA", at positions 524 to 776 of the family's 1533-position model. The record is from RNAcentral.